UACGUAGGGUGCAAGCGUUAAUCGGAAUUACUGGGCGUAAAGCGUGCGCAGGCGGUUCGUUAUGUCCGAUGUGAAAGCCCCGAGCUUAACUUGGGAAUGGCAUUGGAAACUGGCGGGCUGGAGUGCGGCAGAGGGGGGUGGAAUUCCACGUGUAGCAGUGAAAUGCGUAGAGAUGUGGAGGAACACCGAUGGCGAAGGCAGCCCCCUGGGCCGACACUGACGCUCAGGCACGAAAGCGUGGGGAGCAGACAGG
This 253-nucleotide ribosomal RNA is filed under the name uncultured bacterium. Its description in RNAcentral is "partial 16S ribosomal RNA". It matches the Rfam family "Bacterial small subunit ribosomal RNA", at positions 524 to 776 of the family's 1533-position model. The record is from RNAcentral.